GGGACCUGAUGCAGCCAUGCCGCGUGUGUGAAGAAGGCCUUCGGGUUGUAAAGCACUUUCAGUUGUGAGGAAAAGUUAGUAGUUAAUACCUGCUAGCCGUGACGUUAACAACAGAAGAAGCACCGGCUAACUCCGUGCCAGCAGCCGCGGUAAUACGGAGGGUGCGAGCGUUAAUCGGAAUUACUGGGCGUAAAGCGCACGCAGGCGGUUUGUUAAGCUAGAUGUGAAAGCCCCGGGCUCAACCUGGGAUGGUCAUUUAGAACUGGCAGACUAGAGUCUUGGAGAGGGGAGUGGAAUUCCAGGUGUAGCGGUGAAAUGCGUAGAUAUCUGGAGGAACAUCAGUGGCGAAGGCGACUCCCUGGCCAAAGACUGACGCUCAUGUGCGAAAGUGUGGGUAGCGAACAGGAUUAGAUACCCUGGUAGUCCACACCGUAAACGCUGUCUACUAGCUGUGUGUGUCUUUAAGACGUGCGUAGCGAAGCUAACGCGCUAAGUAGACCGCCUGGGGAGUACGGCCGCAAGGUUAAAACUCAAAUG
This 537-nucleotide ribosomal RNA is filed under the name Alteromonas sp. RNAcentral's name for it is "bacterial SSU rRNA". It matches the Rfam family "Bacterial small subunit ribosomal RNA", at positions 374 to 907 of the family's 1533-position model. Lineage: Bacteria; Pseudomonadati; Pseudomonadota; Gammaproteobacteria; Alteromonadales; Alteromonadaceae. The record is from RNAcentral.